GCUGGGUGCGGUGGCACAUGCCUGUAAUCCCAGCAGCUCAGGAGGCUGAGACAGGAGAAUCACAAGUUCAAAGCCAGCCUCAGCAAAAAUAAGGCACUAAGCAACUCAGUGAGAACCUGUCUCUA
RNAcentral lists this small RNA (125 nucleotides) under Marmota monax (woodchuck). The record is from RNAcentral. Lineage: Eukaryota; Metazoa; Chordata; Mammalia; Rodentia; Sciuridae.